RNAcentral lists this RNase P RNA (361 nucleotides) under Pseudoclavibacter endophyticus. RNAcentral describes it as "Bacterial RNase P class A". It matches the Rfam family "Bacterial RNase P class A". From Rfam's summary of the family: Ribonuclease P (RNase P) is a ubiquitous endoribonuclease, found in archaea, bacteria and eukarya as well as chloroplasts and mitochondria. Its best characterised activity is the generation of mature 5'-ends of tRNAs by cleaving the 5'-leader elements of precursor-tRNAs. Cellular RNase Ps are ribonucleoproteins. Lineage: Bacteria; Bacillati; Actinomycetota; Actinomycetes; Micrococcales; Microbacteriaceae. The record is from Rfam by way of RNAcentral.
CGGGCCGGCCAGACGGUCGCGUCGCCGGUCGGUUCGCCGCCGGUGCCGAGGAACGUCCGGGCUCCACAGGGCAGGACGGUGGGUAACGCCCACCCGGGGCAACCCGCGAGCCAGUGCAACAGAAAGCAGACCGCCCGCUUCGCGCGGGUAAGGGUGAAAGGGUGCGGUAAGAGCGCACCGGGCGCCUGGUGACAGGCGUCGCACGGUAAACCUCGUCCGGAGCAAGGUCAGACAGGAGACGACGACGCUGCCCGCCGAGUCUCCGGGUAGACCGCUAGAGGCGCGCGGCAACGCGCGCCCGAGAGAGAUGGCCGUCACGGAUUCGUCCGUACAGAACCCGGCGUACCGGCCGACCCGUUCA